ACAAACCCUUCAUAUUUUGAUCGACAAAAUUCUGCAUAUAGCUCUGCAAGUUCUAAUUUUCCUGUUUUACAACAAGGGAAUAGAACUCUGAUCAAUUCAAAAAUUCAGGGUGAUGCAUCAUCCUCAUCGAAAGCUCUGAAUAUUGGUUCUUCUGUCCAUUUAAAAGACAUUCCUGAAAAUCAUCCAUUAUACAAACAACUGCAAUCUUAUCUAUCAGAUCAACAAAAAACUGCAGAUUCUUUUGCGUCCAUAGUUCAAGAAAAUUCUGAAGAUAAGCCUUCAUAUGAAAAACUGGAUGCUAGAGAACUUAUAUUAUAUAUUGAAAAUCAGCAUAUUCCCGGACAAGAAAAUUCUGAAGAAGCAUGGAGACUACUAAAAAAUUACCUUACUGCCAAUGUAUAUUUUGCUGGCGAAUCAUACAAAACUCGGACUUAUUAUGAACACAUAUUAGUGCAAACUUUCAGUGCAACCUUUGAUCACAGUCCCCUAGGAGAAACUACCCCAGGAGUUCAUGGAUACUCCAAAAUGUUUACCUUCAGUUUAAAUUCAUUUUUAAGUGUUGCUUUGAUUUUUUUUUAAACCUAAUUGUGUGACUUUUUGUGCAUAUUUUGUGGUAUUUUGAGAUUUUAUACUUAAUAUUUUUUAAAUAGAUUUAUAUCGUUUAAUUGACAUAAUUUAUGUUCAUUAGAUUGUGACCUGAUCUAGAAGAAUGCAGCGAGAUGAAAAUUUUCAAGUAAGAUUCGAAGCUUUGUUGUAUUCAGAAAAUAUAAUAAAAUUUAAAUUUUUAAUUUUUAUAAUUAUAAUUGAUUUGGAGUCGUGAUAAAAGCGUUUUGUUUUUUGGCAUUAUAUUAAUAAAUUAUUAAAAUUAAACAUAAAUAAAUAAAGUGUGAAGGUCCUCCUUAGAAAGAACUUAUUGUGAAUCAUUAAAAGACUCUACAAUAAAUAAAAUUGAUAUUUAUUAUUUUUCUCAAUUUUUUGUUUCAUUUUUUAAUUUUAAUUUAUGUUAUUAUAAUUAGUUACGAGUCAUAAUAAAAGUAUUUUAUUUUUUUCUUUUGAAUUAUAUUAAUAGGUUAUUAAUCUUAAUUAUAAAUUAAUAAAGUUUGAAGGUCCUUAAAACAAUAGAGAAAAUUAUUAUUUACUAUUUUUAUUUAAUUAUUUUAUAAUAUUUCUCCUAAAAUAUGUAGAAAUAAUUGUGAUAAAAUAAAUACUCUUAAACCAUGAAAGAUUAAGAAUUUGUAAAAUAUAUUAUAUUAAAGGGUAAUUAAUGUCAAUAUGAAGUAGUUGAUACGAAAUUUUUUUUGGAGACGCGUUAGACAUAAAAUAAUUGAACUCAUAAAUAGAAAUAUAGAAAUACAAAAUUAGAAGGUAGUUUCUAAGGGCUGAUGAUUUCUUUUUCACUUUUAAAGUUGAAACAUUGCUGUCUAAGGAAUGACUUUGUGGUACAAUCAAACUUAUGUACAUUGUACAACAUAAAUAUGAUUAUCUAGAAUUAUUUAGUUAAUUAGAUCUUAGUAUUUUGCUAUUUUUUUUAUUUCCUUUUUUUGUAAUUAUGUGUCUCACACUUUUUUUCUUUUUGAGUCGAGGGUCUAUGGAAAAUAAUCUCUACCUCACAAUAUAUAAGGUAAAAUCUGCAUACAUUCUAUAUUUUUCAGGCUUCAUUUUAAAAUUAAAUUGGACGUGUUGUUCUUCUUUAUUAUGUUGAAAUUAAAUUCUAUAUUUUUUAAAUUUCAUUUUAAAUUAAAUUGGAUGUGUUGUUCUUCUUUAUUAUGUUUAAAUUAACGAUAUUAAAUAUAAUAUUUACUUUUAUUUUAUAAAACAUAUUUAUUUUGCAUAUUUUAUGGAUUAACGUUACACGUAUAUUCAACACAUGUACACUUUUAUAUGUAACUGUUUUGUGUCGGUGUGAUACAUUUGUUAGUUACUUUGAGAAUUAUACUUUUUGUUAUUAAGGAUAAUCUUAGAUCAAAUAAUAAAUUCGUUAUUUUCAAAAACUGAAAUUCGCAUCUACUGUAAGCUUCAUUUUUAUUACACAUAAGUUAGAUAAAUUUUCUUUUUAAGUCACGUAUUAUAUUAAAAUAUUAUUAUUUUAAAUUUGUAUCUUACGAAAUGAACGGCGGCAGCCAAUUUAGUUACUCAUGUCAACAAAUUAGGUAAUAAGCUUGCAUAUGAUAGUGAUCGAAAAACUUAAAGGAAUUUAAAGAGUACGUCAAUCACCUCUCAAUCUUACAUUAAAUGAAUUUUAUAUUAAAAAAUAUUUGGAUUCUUUAUUAUAGUUAAUCCCUAAUUAAAAUGUUGAUUGACGUUUUUUGUAAAAAAAUACUCGACAUAAGUACACGCGCAAAGCAUAUACACUAAACUAGUUUUACCAAUUACGGAUAAUCCUGUUAAAUAACUAAUAAAGAUACAUUUGGGUACUCCUAAAAUUAAUGGGGUAUGGAACAUACUCUUUAGUCACCAUCAACUUAGUCCUAACCUAAUACAAAAAUAUUUUGUUUAGUCCUAAGGUAAAAUUACUAGUACAAUUAUACUCAUUAGUAAGUUUUCAAAUGGAAAAAAUUAUAACUUAAUUAAGAGGGCAAGUAAGCCAAUUAACUUUUAGUGAAUAUUUUGAUCACUCAACAUUGUCAUUCAUGCUUCUAUAAUAAUAUAAAUAGAUCAUUGUUCAAAAAUUUUGGUGAGUGUCUGCCGUCUUACCUUACAUGAGUUAGUAAUAGUUUCAAAAAAAAAUUAAAAAAAUAAAACACUAGCAUAUAUAAAUAACUAGUUUUAUAAAAUCCGGACUCAAACUCAAAUAAUUUAAUAUUUUAUACAGUAAUAUGAUUAAAUAUGUAAAAUAAUGACAACUUUCAAAGAUCAUAAAUUGAAAAGCGUUGAUACUUUUAUGAGAUUAUGAACAUACAUUCUAUAGCUAUAAAUAAAAAAUAUAUUUCUUAUAUUAAGUCAUAGUUUUAUUCAUAAUUUCACGUGACAAAAAUUUAAGUUAUUUAAUAUGAUAAUUUAUACUUAGUUUUACUUUAAAUUAAAAAAAAUUGAAUUCAUCAAAAAUAAACUUCGAAAAUCUAUCAGUUCUUAUAUUUAAUUUAUGCCUAAGAAUAUUAAUUCUCAAAUAAUCAAAAAAGAUAUUUUAAAAAUAAUUUGAUCUUAAUUGAUACUACUACCUUCAUUUUUAACUUUAUCAAUAAUUUUAACUUUCAAUAUUUGAAAGAUUUUAUGGAUAAUUUCAAAAGUAGGUCUAAAUUUUUUCGUAAAAAAAUUCUAUUCAAUUUGUAAAAAAAUAAUUAGGAAAUAUUGAGAAUCAUACUUAGCUCAUCAGAAAUAAAUAUAGUCUUACACAAUUAAUUAAAAGAUUUACCGAUUAGUUAAAUAAUUUUUUUUUAAAAUAAUUCAGUUAAUUGUCAGCCUAAACUCUCACCUUAUUGGCGAAGGUUUGAUUCUCCAUUUUAUUCCUCCCUAUUUCCUUAUUUUAAAAAAUAGUUAAGCAAUUAAAAAUUCAAGAAAAAACUCAAUAAUAAUUUCUCAUAUUAUAACAAACCACAUAUAAAGUCUCAUUUGACAAAUAAAGAAAUAAAGUAGUUUUAUCUUUAUCAAAUACAUGCCAUAAUUUUAGUGGAUUAAUAAAUUAAUUAAAAUUAUUAAAAUAACCUUUUGAGGACUACCAAAGUUUAUUAUUGUCUUUUAUAUAUAAUAGUAAAAAUUUAUUAUUCUCUCUUAUAUAUAAUAGUAAAGUAAUUUGCUUUGCUAUAAAAAAAAUAAAAUGCUAUCAUAAAUAUCAUAGUUAAUUUUUUCUUUUUACUUUUAGCAAAAGAAAAAUAAAAGAAAUCACAUCUAGGUAAUUUUUCUUGAAGGAAAAGGUUCUGAACUACUUUAAAUUAAGAACUCUUUCAUUACAACAAUAUAAUAUUCACAAUGUAAAAUUUAGUCGCAGAGAUAUUUUUAUAAUUAUUUUUUGAUGAGCUCUAAAGGUGCUAGCUCAAGGAGUACCAAAAAAAUGUGCUAAGAUCGCCGGGGGGACAGGGGGGACUCUUGGAGACUCCUGUAGGUAAUAAGAAACUUAUAAAACGAAAGUUAUUGCGUGUUAUUCUAAUAUCUCGAUAUCAUAUUGUUUUUUGUAAUUUUUAUUUUGCUAGUCAUAUUGUAGGUUAACAUUCGCUCUGACUUUGCGAUUUUUUUGUCUAAAGGUUAGGUUUAAUUAUAUCAUUCUAAUAUCUCAAUUAUUAUAGUUUCUUUUCAGUCACUAUCUGUUGUUUUUUCUGCUUAAUAUAGGUAGCGAUGAGUGUUGAUUUGGCUUUGAAAUUUUUUUUCUGUAAAUAUUAGAUUUAAUCAUAUUGUUUUGAUAUCUUGAUUAACAUAUUAUUUUGGUGUGAUUUACAGGUGGUUGAUGAAUGUUCGAUCGAAAUUUGAUGAACUUUAUGUAAAGUUUAGGUUGUCGAAUCUAUAUAUAAUAUAAAGGAAGGUCACAGAGAAAGUGACAUGACACCUAUUUAUGACCUUCAUUCCUAUUUUUCUAUUUUCUCCUUUUUUUUUCCUUUUUUAAUUUUUUAUCCUAUUUUUUAAUGCUGUAAUAAUAAAUGACUCUAUAAUUAAUAUUCCACAUACUAAUGAAAUACUUUAUUGUUCCAGCCACUUAGAUUCCUUAUUUAUGGAAGAAAAAGAAUUGAAAAAGUCUUUAGCAAUGAGAAGAAUAAAACCACAAGUAUUUAUACACCAAAAUAUUAGUCCAAUUUCGACAAUUCAGUCACACCCGUUACAUAUCUUAAACCCAUUUACCAACUACAAUUAAACCUAUUUAAUUUACAUUAGUCAUUCACUCAUAUUCUCAGUAAACCAAUAUCAAAGAAAUCCUUNNNNNNNNNNNNNNNNNNNNNNNNNNNNNNNNNNNNNNNNNNNNNNNNNNNNNNNNNNNNNNNNNNNNNNNNNNNNNNNNNNNCAAUUAUCAAGAAAUGAAUUUAUCUUUUUUCUUUUUUUUUUUGGGGGGAGUCUUUUUCCUUUUUAAGUGAUAAAAAAAUGAGUACUAUCCAUUUAAAAAAUAAUCAAACGUCGCUAUUAAAAAAAAACUGUCGACAUAAAUACACUUAAUUAGGGAUUGAGUUUAAUUUGCAGCAUCGUUUUCUUCUUCUUUUCCACUUCCUCCCAAGAGUCUUUUUCAGUUCCACUUCUUCUUGCCGUCGCCACAGUAAUUUCUUACUACUGUCUUUUCAUUUUAUCCCGAUCUUUUGGUCCACUUAAAUUUCUUCAAUGUGAUUUUGUUAUUGGCUUUAUUUCUCUCAUGUUUGAGAAACGUUUCAUGACAGCAAAAAAUUGACAACAAACAUUGACUUGUGUGCGCGAAUAGAAGCAGAAAACUAAAAAAAUUCUUUUAUGAAGUUUUGCUGAUUAAGAUUAUAUUGCAUGCAUAGGAAGCCAGCUUUACUCCAACAAGAGAGAAGACCAUGAGUAUGCUAAGUUUUUCUUUUUCUUAUAAGUGUAGACUAAAAUUCAUAAGACACCAUAUAAUCAAUAAAGACUGAGAGUGAAACGAGUGAGAAAACAUAGGAGUUUUAGUACUUUCUUGGACUUCCUUUCUAAUCUUUUUGUUAUUUUAUUGUACUUUUUGAAAUUGAUUAAAUAUUAUUUCUAUUUCUUUUAAAAAAAUUAUUCUACUUUUUGGAAUUGCUACAAUAUUAUUUCAAUUUUUUUUUUUUUUAAAUUUCAUAAGCAGUGUUUAGAGCAACUUUUUUAACUUGACAAUCAUAUAAUAAUAUUUAUUUAUAAAAUAGGAGCAAAAACUUAGUUGUAUUAUUAUUAGGAAUCAACUUAUGUGAUUUGGUAAACUCUUUACGAAGGAAUAGUCUGACCGAUUAUACCAAAGAUGAGAUGGAGCGAAGGGGAUGUUUGGGUUAGCUUCUUUGAAGUGAUUUAUAAGCUAAGAGUUGAAAGUUGUCUUUUUUUACUAUGUAAGAGGGUGUUUGGAUUGAUUUAUUUUAAGGGAUUUUGACUUUUAAACACUUUAUUUUAGGUUUAAGAAGUAUCCAAAAAUGCCAAAAAUCAAUGUUUUGUCUCCUUUCGGAUUUUAUUUUAAAGAAAAUGAUUUUGAUCCUUUUUAAACUAUUUCGAAAGAUUCAAGAGAGUUUCGAAAUAAUUUUUGACAAAAUUUAUAGAUUCGUCACUUGAUUUUUUAUCGAAAAUAUCAAGAAAAACUCUAAAGGGAUUUCAAAGAUUUAAAAAUAGUAAUAAAUUUUCGAAAUCAGAGAAACUGAGUUAAUGCCCUAAGAAAAUUUUUACGGCACUUAUAAGCGACCGUUUUAAAACAGUUCACCAAAAGAUUUAUUUUUGACUAAUUUAAAAGGGUAACUAACAUUACAAAAAGGAACAAAAAAAUUACUUGUAUAAAAUUAUUUAUUUACAUGUUCAAAAUUUGACUUCUUGUUUGUUUCAACGAAAAAUAGUCUACUUGAAUUAGAAAGAAGUUGCAACAUGUUUCGCUUGAUUUACUUAAUUCAUGAUUAUUUCUAAGAAAGGAUAUGAAAUAUCUUACUUGAAUUAAAAGAAGCCUAUCUAGACUAGGUGACACAUUUGAAUUUAAAAAGAAAAUAUGUUGAUUUUUAUGGGGAAAGAGGAUCAUAUAAUUAUUUAUUGUCAUAAGAAUGGUCAUUUUGUCAUGGCUAACACCUUUGAAAAAACAUUAAGAAAGUAUCAUAUUAAAACAUUUUAUCGAUGGUAGAAAGUUGAAAUUUACGAGAAAAUAACUUUUCGAGUUCGAAGAGAAUUAUAUGUUUUUUUUUAUCUAAAUAGACUAUUUAGUCGUGUGAACAAAACAAAUAUCAUUUGGACUAAGUAUUCAUUUUUUUUAUUUCUUUUUAUGAAUUAAGUGGGAAAAUUAUACGAUAAAUGAGAGAUUCGAGAUAAAUGAAAAGGCAAAAACGUGGGAAAUCACUAGGUUAAUUAAGUAGAAUCGUCAUAAUUUUAAUAUUUUUUUUAGGUACAAGCUAUAUCAUUUAAAUAAAUAUAAAAUUUGGAGGCAAAAAUCUACAAUAAUUGUUGUGAUAUAUUUUCUAAUAUAGUAUCAAAAUGAUUUUAUAAAAAUGAAUUCAUUGAAGCGAGGUACACGCACGGAUUGCGAAACCUAAACUAGUAUAUAUAUAUAUGUGUGUUAGCUAUAUGUUAGCACAUUUAAUUAAUAAAUUGGGUAAAGAUGUCUCAUAAUUAGGUGAUAAAAGAGUAAGACAAGAUAUAUGUUGGUAGGUAUGAAUUUGGUACACUGGUAAGCUUUUAUAGACGAGUCAACACACACAAUUUGCCAUUUUAAGGAAUAGAUACCCAACAAAACUGAUUGUUCCUGUAUAUGCCAAAGACACAAACUUUCUGAACCAAGUAAACAAAAGGCAUUACCAUUAAAAUGCAUGAAUCAACGAAUAAGCACACGAUACAAAUUCUACCCAACCAAAAAUAGGACUCCAACACCUUUCUAGCAUGCAUAUAUUGUACACAAGACCACAUUCCUAAAAAACAGAUACGAACAAAACUAGCAUUUCGUCAAAACGCAUAAAUCGAGAAAACUAAAUGCAAUUUCAACAUAAUAAUCUAAUUAAAAAAAAACAAUGCAAGACAUGUAUUUUCCUGCAAGUGAAGUAUUCAAGAUUUAGAGCAUAUAACAGGACACCACAUAACCACUGUUCUACCAUGAAUAUACUUUAACACAAAACCCGGAAAAGAUAAAACACACAAGAGAGAAAAUGACAUUCUUAGCUUUUGUGAGCAUGACAUAAUGGUGAACCAUACUUUCUUCAUAUAAUUCAAAACAACCCACAUACCAACAACGCACUGUCGAAAGUUUGAAAUUUCCAACAAUUCACACAUAAUCGAGAAAACUCUUAAUUCCGAUCGAUUCUACUAUCAUUACCACAGUCCAUAUCCACAAUCAUUGCAGCAUUUUCAUAUUUACGACAUCCAAACGUGAAGAAAAAGAAUGUAGCAAAGACGACUGUUCACCUGUUUUCGAGCAGCAACACCGGGACGAAGAGCUUUCAAUCGAAUGAGAUUCCACCACCUCGAGUUGAUUCUAACCAACAGAAUUUGAACGAGAACAUCGAAUUCCGAUAUUCCGACGGUCUUCGAGAAUUUUGGUUUCGUGAGGUUAAACGCAAGCACCUUCAGAACCCCUAAUUUUCCCCCAAAAUCCUCCUCCUUACCCCUUCUCCUUAGCAUCUAUUUAUAGGUAAUUUCGUAUUUUUUUUUAUUUUUUUUUUUUUGGGGGGGGGGGGGGGGUUGUGAUUAGGGCUUUGAAUUUGAACUUUUUUGGAAAAGUCAAGGGAUUUUGAAAUCCACAAUGACAGAAAUGCAGAGUGAAAUUUGCACCAAAUUGGUACAAAAUUCAGAACGGAAAAGUUAGAAGGCAAGAAAAGAGACCGGAUUUGGACAUUUAAGAAGGUGAAAUUCAAGCCAAAAAGAGGUUGCACACGGGGGUAAAUCAGUAAUAAAGGAAAGGGGGAACAACUGGGUUUUUUCUCGUUGAAGGCUAUUGCUGUUACUGCGUUGGAACUGUUGUUUGCGUUACAGCGUACAACGCUGUUUGUUGCUGGUGUACGCGUUGUUGAACGCCGUUGAUGUUGUCGGCUAUUAUGGUCGUUGUUGGUUAUUGUUUUGGCUGAGGCUGAUAACGUUUUGUACAGUGGUUGUUGUACGCUGUAUAAGGGAAAUUAAUGAAAAGGGGAAAUAAGGGUUUCGGCCAGGUCGGUUUGGUGGAUUGGGCUGGUGAGGGUAAGCUGCUGUUGUUAUUUUUGAUGGGAAUUGGGCUGUUAGCCAAAUUUCAAAGAGGAUUGGGUCGGGUUUAUAAUGGAGUGGGCUGGGGUUAUGGGCUGAUUAUGGAUAAUUAUAAUUUAGUCAAUUUAAUUUGAAAUCUAGCCAGAUUAAAAAUUAAUCUGUCAGUUGUAUUUAAUAUGGCCAAAUUCAAUUAAUCGAUUAAAUUAAAUCAAAAUUUGAAAUAAAUUAACAAUCAAUUUAAUCUCGAGUUUCUUCAUUUAAUAAGAUCAAAUAAAUAUUUUUAUUUUAUUUUUCAACAUAAAUUAUUUUGAGGCUAAAUUAAAAUUAAAAUUUUAACCAUUUGAAUCAAUUUUCAAGAUAACCCUUGAUUAAAAUUUAAUUUUAAACAAAUAGUUAUUUAAAUAACAAAAUUAUAUAAUUUUCUAUAAGCAAAUAAGAAAUAUAUAAUAGUUACUAAAAAUGACAAAAUCACACAGAUAAAUACUUUGAAAAAAACUAUUAUUUAAAUAAAAUAAAUAAUGUAAUUUUAUUUAAAAUUAAAGAAACUCGAAUUCAAACUUAGUCGUGGAGGACAAAACUUAGGUGUCAACAACUACCCCCUCCCUUUGGGUAGGGUAGUUGUAAGUAACCCUGGGCAAAGGGAGUUUGACGUUCUUAAUUUUUUCCGACCACAAAUUUAUUUCUGAAAGAGGUUGGUUUUCGCAUGAGUUUUUAUAGAGUUAUAGCCGGACCCCGAUAUUGGGUUUCCUACAUAUCUCAGGUUACAUGAGAAUUCAGGCCACUUGUAGUUCAUAAGCUUAAUUUUAAGCACGAUUUUCAAAAACUUCACAAGCUAUCCCGAUUUUGAAUUUUAGUAAAACCAAAAAACUGAGGAAUAAGCAGAUAGGGGGGUGAGGGGUGGGGGGUUGGACUGCAGUCAACUUUUCAACACGGAGCUCAUCCUAUAUAUCCCUGAGACUCAGGGAAUCAGAUUUCAUAUAUUUUGAUUCGAUUGGUGGAAAAUAUGGUCAUUUAUGAUAGGAUGACCUUUGGCUCGGGAUGAGAGACAAACUGAUUGAGUUGCAGAAAAGGGGCUUGUAACCUCUUAUCCAUGACUCUGGAGCUCCUAACAUCAAUAGGUAAGAUUUUUACUCUGGCAUAAUUUUCAAAACUCUGAGUGUGUUAUCACUAGAAUUUGAAGCGAAGAGAAGAUUACCCUUGGUAUGGGUUUAAAAAUAUCUCGAGAGUGAAACUGAAACAAAAUUCCAAAAUACCCACAUGCCUUCUGAUAGGGAUGUGGUUUUAUGGUGGUGGAAUUCGUCUUUAGCUUGCGUCCAAAGAGUUUGAUAUUCCUCUUCGUACUAUGUCCUAGUUCGCCGCUCAAAAAAGUUUUGCGUUAUGCUGCAUUCUUUUUAGAGUCAUCCGCACCUGUGAUUUUGGUUUGAGAUUUUUAUCCUUUUCAAAUGCUCUCAAUAACAUUUCAAAUAAUAUUGCUAGUAAUAAACAUAGCUCAUUAAGGGGUUUAUAGUCUUUUACCAUAUAACCAUGUGAGAGCGAUAAUUCUCGCAAUACUCGACAUAACAACUUUUUUGUUGUUGAAUAAAAUGGUCUUCUUGAUGGUUGGAAGUGCUCUUCAAAGUGGGGUGGCCCUCUUGGGCACUGACGACACGUAUAGAGCGAUCCCUGCAGACGCAUAGCUAUAUGCUAAUGUGGCAACCCUUUUGGUCACCUAUAACGCCUGUCGUAUUUGACCUCGGGGAGUCUUGCGCAUCUCUCAUAUCGGUACGACUUAUAGAUUUUCUUUGAAUUAUCAAUCUUCAAAUAAUCUUGCGCAUUAUUUGAUGUUGGAUAUGAGGUGACUUACAGAUAGCCUUUAAGUUGCUAGCUUUUUAGUAAUCCUGUACAUUAUCCGACCUUGGAUAAAAGAUGACUUACAGAUAUCUCUCCAAUCGCUAACUCUCAGGCAUCCUACACAUUAUCCAACCUUGGAUACAAUAUGACUUAUAGAUAUUUGUUAUAUCGGUAGUCUUUGGCUAAUCCUGUGCGUAAUUGAUUUUGGAUAUGACACGGCUUAUAGAGAACUCUUGGACUUAUAAAUUUCAAUAAUCUUGUAUAUUUUCCGAUAAGGAUUUAGUUAUGACUUAUAGAUGACCUCCAAACUGUCGAUCUUUGGGUAACCUUGCACAUUAUCUGUUUAGGAUGUUGUUGCGGCUUACGGAUGACCCAUAUUCUAUUAACCUAUGGGUAAUCUCGCACACUAUCCUAUUUCAAAUAAUGUGAUUUAUAGAUCAACCUUCGAUUGUCAAUUCUCAAAAAAUCUAGUACAUCGUACAUUUGGAUAGCAACUUAUACACAUUCUUUGGACCAUAUAUUUCUUGAGAUCCAAUAGCGAAUGCCAUUGAAUAUUUUGUGAUUGAUGCAUUUGAAGCUGAUGAAUAUCCCUCAACGCCAGAUUACUUUCCCUUUGCGUGAUUUGAUAAGAUAUGAAUGCUUCAGAAUAUUCUUCAAUGCCAAACUCUUUUGUCUUCGCAUGAUUAUCAGAUAUAUAUAUAUGAAAAUGCUUUAGAACAUCCUUCAAUAAUAUACUCUUUCUCCUUUAUUUGAUUAACGGAUAUAGAAGACUUGGAAUCAAUCAUGGGCAUCAUAUGCAAUAUGGAGAUACCCUUGGAUUGUCAUAUCUUCAAAACUAGUUGAAAAAGGCGAUAUGGCUUUCAGGAUGCGACUCUUACAUCAUGGUCUUCUUGGAAUGGCCUUCUCGAUAUGACGGCAUGGCCCUUUUGGCAUGGCCCUUUUGGCAUGACCCUCUCGUUAUGGCCCUCUCGACAUGACUCUUUCGGCAUGGCCCUCUCGGCGUGAUAUGAUGCAGUAGAACGAUAAAGAGGAAUACAAAUAAUCGUGCAGGGAUUGUAGAGAACGUCACCUUAACCAUCCUACUAGAAUGUUGGACCUUUUUCAUAUACUAUUUCAAACAUCCAUCCUUGAUUUGCUUGGGAUGUGAGUAAGUCAUCAUUUUGCUUUCCACAUUUGAUGAUACCUGCAACCAACAAAAAAACCUGUUAGUUUGGAAAACUUAGUUUUUUUCAACUCCUGACAAUCCUGGCUAUUUCUUAUCGACCUUGAGAUGUUUGGCUUUCUUAUAUUCCUUUAAAUCAAAGGAAUACGGUGAACGAUCGAUGCUUUCAUUAAUUUUUGUUGGCUUCAGGAUAACCUGCAACCACAGAAAAAUUAUUAGUUUUGGUAUAUUGAUCUGUGUUGCCUUUUCGGUCUUCAGCUUAUGUCAUCGCCAUCAUCAGGUUCUCAUCUUCUUCACGUGUUUGUCAUUUUUGACUCCUACUUCGACUCCCUAAGUUUGCGGGUGUAAGGCAAAAUCAUAGCAUAAAAAAAUUAAAGUAAAUACUUUUGCAAAUAAUUGAAUUUUCAAAAGUCCUUUUAUAAGAUUGGGAGGAGUCUCUGUCAAUUAAGCCAUAUCAUAUACGAGCUUUAAUGAACAUUCUUAGCUCGAGGGGUUGAGGCUUUGUAGCUGAAGGUCUAUGAAGUUGACUCUGCUAUUUCGACACCUAAAACUUUGUUGUCAUCUUUGAACUCUUUAGUACAGUAUGGUGGAAAUUUUGAGGUCUACCUUAAAAUUUCUGCCCCAGUUACUGAUAUUUAUCUCUGAGUUACAAGAGGAUGAUCUUCUUCUUUUGAAUUUUAAGGUUCCUUCCCAAAAAUUCUGCCCCACUUUUCAUUUCCUGGGGUGAUAUGACCAAUCCGUUGUGGUGCAUACGUAUACAGUUGAAUAGGAAUCAAGUCAAACGUAGUUCCCAUAAUGCAAAAAGAGAAUAAAAAUAGUUAAAGGGGUGACUGAAGCCGACGAGGCUGUCUACGUAUCCCAUCCUCGGGAAUUUAGUUCAUCACGUAGUUCAGGAGAAAAUAAAAUUUUUCUAAGGGGUUGAUCAAAACCGACAUAGGCCUCCUACAUAUCCUUUUCUUGGGAAUUCAGGUCAAAUGUAGUUCGUACAUAAGAGGAGGGAAAAUUUUAAAUCUACUACAAAGCAGAAGAACAAUUACAAAUAAGAGAGCAAUUACAAGGAAAUAAGCACAAAAAAACCCCACACCAGACAUAGUAUUUAUUCACUACAUCAAAAUUAAUUGGCUUGGUCCACCUUUGGCCAUUCAUUUCAGACAAAAUCAAGGCUCCUCCUGAUAACACUUUGCAAACUACAUACGGCCCGUGCCAAUUUGAAGCGAACUUUCCCUUAUACUCCUCUUGGUGAGGGAAUAUGCGUCUGAGCACCAACUGUCCAACUUCAAACGUGCGAGCUCUUACUCUUUUAUGAAAAGCACGAAUAAUUCAUUGUUGAUAUAGUUGUCCAAGGCAUACUACGCUCAUACUAUUUUCAUCAAUCAACAUAAGUUGUUCAUGAUGGGCGCGGACCCAUUAUUCAUUACUCAGACCCACUUCUUGGAUGAUCCUUAAAUAUGGUAUUUCAACUUCAGUGGGUAUUACCGCUUCUGUCCCAUAGAUUAAUGCAUAAGGAGUUACCCCAGUCGAGGUUUUAACUGUUGUGCGAUAUCCCAGCAAGGCAUAAGGCGGCAUGUCGUGCCACGAUCGGUGGCUAUCAACCAUCUUUCUUAAGAUCUUCUUGAUGUUCUUAUUGGCAGCUUCUACCGCUCCAUUCAUUUGAGGGAGAUAUGCGGUUGAAUCUAGAUGAGUGAUCUUGAACUAUUCACAUAUCUCUUUCAUCAGAUGACUAUUCAAAUUUUCUCCAUUGUCCUUGAUGAUUAACUCGGGUAUCCCCAAUCGGCAAAUCAAAUUAUUCUUGACAAAAUCUGCUACCACCUUCUACCCACUUGGUAAAGUUAUCGAUAGCAACUAAAAUAAAUUUGUGUCCAUUAAAAGCUAGUGGUUCAAUCGGGCCGAUGAUGUCCAUGCCCCUAGCUACAAACGGCCAGGGCAAGCUCAUAACAUUAAGUUCGUGUGGGGGUACUCGGAUCAGAUCUCCAUGUAUCUGGCACUUAUGACAUUUUUACACUAACUUGCUAUAGUCAAUUUCCAUAGUCAUCCAGAAAUAGCCGGCUCUUAGAAUAUUCUUGGCUAGAGUAAAUCCAUUCAUAUGAGGUCCGCACGUUCCGACGUGAACUUCUUCAAGUAAUUUUAUAGCUUCGAUGAAAUUGACACAUCAUAAAAAUCCUGAGUCCGGGUCCUCCUAUAAAGGACUUCCCCAUUCAAAAAUAAAUUAUUGGCCAUCCGACGGAUCGUUUUCUUCUGAUUGAUGGUUAAAUCUUUCGGGUAUGCUCUAGUCUCCAAAUACCUCUUGAUAUCAAAGUACCAUGACUUUCCAUCUGGUUCUGCCUCAACUUGUGUGCAAUGUACAGGUUGUUUUUUCACACUUAUCUCCAACGAAUCAAUGUAACUUUGAUCCGGAUAUUGAAUCAUGGAGGAUAUAGUGGCCAAAGCACCGACGAACUUAUUUUGUAUUCUUGGAACAUGCUUGAAUUCCACCUCCUUGAAUCUUCUGCAUAACUCAUGUACCAAUUCCACAUAUGACGUAAUUUUAGGUUUCUUUAUGGCCUAUUCACCUCGAACCUAGUGAACUAAUAGAUCAGAAUCUCUAAUGACUAGUAGCUCUCAAAUAUUCAUAUCAAUAGCCAGUCUGAGAUCGAGAAUACAAGCCUCGUAUUCAGCUAUAUUAUUGGUGCAUGGAAAGCGUAGUUUGGCGUAAACUUAGUAGUUUUGACCAAUUUAUGAUAUUAAGACUGCCCCAAUUCUUGAACCAUUGAAGUUAACCUCCCCAUUAAAGAACAAUCUCCAACUUGGGUACAUUUCGGCAAUGUUUUCCCCUAUAAAAAAUACCUCUUCAUCUGGGAAAUAAGUUCGGAGUGGCUCAUACUCUUCAUUAGAUGGGUUCUCCACUGGGGCCUGCCUUUUGAUCGCCUUUUGAGUCACGUAUACAAUGUCGAACUCACUUAAUAGCAUUUGCCAUUUGGACAAUUUCCCCUUGGGAAUGACCUUUGGGAAUAUGUACUUCAGAGGAUCCAUUCUGGAGAUGAGAUACGUUGUAUAGGAUGUCAAGUAAUGUCUCAGCUUCUAGGACACCCAGGUCAAUGCAUAACACGCUCAUUCUAAUAGUGUGUAACGAGCCUCAUAUGGAGUGAACUUUUUACUUAAGUAAUAAAUUGCUCUUUCCUUCUUUCCAGUUUAAUCUAUUGCCCUAAGACACAUCCAAAUGCAUUGUCAGGGAACGAUAGAUACAACAAUAAAGAGAUUCCUUCUCUUGGAGGAAAUAGUACUGGUGGACUAGACAAAUAAUCCUUGAUCUUGUCAAAAGCUCGCUGGUAUUCCUCAGUCCAUUUACUUGCUGCAUCUUUCUUUAACAUCUUGAGGAUUGGCUCACAAAUACCUGUUGACUGGGCUAUGAACCUGCUAAUGUAAUUCAAUAUCCCUAAGAAACUCAUGACUUCCUUCUUCAUCUUCAGAUGAGGCAGCUUUCCUGCGGGCACCCUAAAAGUAUAUUUAGCUGGGUUCAACUUCAAAUUGUACUUCCUCAACCGAUCAAAGAAUUUUCUCAAAUGAGCAUAGUUGUCCGAAAUCUUGCGAGAUUUGAUGAUUACAUCGUCUACAUGCACUUCAAUCUUUUAUUGAUUAUAUCAUGAAAUAUGAUUGUCAUGGCUCUUAUAUACGUAGCACCAGUAUUCUUGAUACUGAAGGACAUCACUCUAUAGUGAUAAACAACCCAAGGCGUGAUGAAAUCCAUUUUUUCUCCAUUAUUUUUAUCCAUCAGUAUUUGAUGAUACCCGAUAAAGUAAUCUACGAAGGACUGUAUUUCAUGCCUCGCACAAUUAUUAAUGAGAAUAUGGAUGCUGGGUAAUGGAAAGGUAUCUUUAGGACUGGCUUUGUUCAAGUCCCUAUAAUCGACACAAAUUCUGACUUUUCCAUCCUUCUUCGGUACUAGAACAAUAUUGGCAAGCCGUGUUGGAUAUUUGUGACUUCAACCACAUUGGCUUGGAUCUUCUUAGUAACUUUUUCCUUGAUUUUCAGACUCAAAUUUGGGUUAAAUUUUUGCAACUUCUACUUCACAGGAUUAAACCCCGGAUCAAUUGGCAACUUGUGUGAUACAAUAUCUGUACUCAAUCCUGGCAUGUCAUCAUAAGACUAAACAAAUAUGUCAAUAUAUUCUUUAAGCAACCCAACGAGUUCUCUUUUCUGUGCUUCUGCAAGAUGAAGACUGAUCUUGGUUUCUUUGACUUCUCCAUCAUCACCUAGAUUAACUAUCUCAAUUUUUUUCUAGGUUGGGCUUUCCCAAUCCUCAAAAUCUUUUAGUUCCUCUGUUAAUCACUUUGGGGCCAUUGUUUUUUCAUUAAAGUUCUCUUAUUCAUCAUCAUUUGCUUCGAUUUAUUCAUUUAGCUCUUGACAUGACAUGACAUUGGAAGAUUUUAAAUUAUAAUUACUAAAAUAAUAAACAACAUUAGUUAGAUUAUAGCGAUCGAAUAAUGUAGUUAAAUCGGUAAAAAUGUCUUUGUAAUAAGGAAGGCUUUCAUUAAAAUUUAAAACAUUACAGACAUUGGCUAUGAUCCUCACUAGGGCUGGUCUGAGCCUUUUGGGAAACAUAAAAAACGAAAAUGAGGUAAAUAAAACUUAAAAGAUGGGUCCCUUUUUGCAAAAAUUGAAUUGCAUCCUUUCAUCUACCACUUCAAUCGGGGAGUCAUGAUUGAAGUGAAAGUCCAGUUCGACAGUUUCUCCCCUGACUCAUCUUUAUUGAUCUCGAUCUUCUUAGGGAAAUCCUGUAUAAUGGCAUCACACUCUUUGAACAAGUUACCUAUUCCAUCCUCAGGACCAUCACUUGUAGGCUUCACAGAUACAGGAAUGACUGAUAGAGCGGAGGUAAUCUCUUCACCAUUUAUGGGCCUACUCUCUUCUCCUCUCUUUCACCUUCUUUACUUGUCACAUAUCCUAUCCCAUACUUGAACAACUUCUCUAGGAUCACGACAGGCUUAACGAUCCUAUGCAAAUUCUUUCCUAAGCUGCGCCCGGGCUCAAAACCGCUUCUCAGCAUAACAGUGGUCAACAUCUUGUAAAUUGGAAGCAUUGGCUCGUAAGGAGUUGGGUCUUUCUCAACUACAUUUAUGAUCUCUACUGUAUAAAAUUUACUCUCUUUCGGGACUUCAAUCACAAGAACACAACUGUUAGGGUGACUCAUACGACUUCCUUCACCAUAGAUGAAUACUUCAUCAUUUUCCCAUAUAAAUUUCACUGGUUGGUGUAAUAUUGAAGAAACGACCCCACCGUAUGAAUCCAAGGCCUUCCUAAGAGCAGAUUAUAACUUACAGAAAUGUAUAUCACUUGAAACUUAACUAAGAAUUCUGCAGGCCUCAUCUGAUGGUGCAACUUGAAUUCCCUAAUGGUGUUUCCCUGACCCCCGUCAAAAGCUCUUACAUUUACCGUAUUUUGAUGCAUUUUCUCUAUAUUAUAGUUCAGCUGAGUCAAAAUGGAUAAUGGACAAAUAUCCAGACAUGAUCCAUCAUCAAUUAAUACCCUGUUAACAAUCUUAUGUUGGCAUUUGACAGUAAUAUACAAUGCCUUGUUAUGCAUCACUCUUUCAAAGUGUAACUCAUCUCUACCAAAGCUAAUGCGAUGAGCUCCCACCACUCUACUGAUCAUGGCCACAAAAUUGUUAGUACUUGUGCCUACGGGCACGUAUGCUUCUUCAAGGAACUUCACUAGAGCUUGUCUAUGAUAUUGAGAACUCAUAACCAAUGACCAAAUAGAAAUCUGAGCGGGCUUCUUCUCUAAAUGUUUCACAAUAAAGUACUUUUUUGGCUGCAUUCUUCUCCAAAAUUCUUUGGCCUCCCCUUCAGUGAUUGGCCUUUUUUGAGCAUUCUUCUUGUAUACAUCAUUAGCAAGCUCCUCUGUAGUGUAGCAUCUCCCUGAUCUAAUCAUUCCUUACGGGCGGCGGCUUCCACCAUAAAUUCUUCUCUUACGGGAACAAACGCAAAGACUUGAUGAGGUACGACGAAUGCAACAUACUUGGGCUUCUCGAUAACACUUAAGGCGACCACUGCCUUUUCUAUAUCUUUAACCUUAUCCAUCGCAUCCAGGCUAGCCUGUGUUAUAGAAUUUCUCACCACCCAUUCACUAUCUAUUUCUAUCAUAUUGAUAGUUGUCUCUUUAUGGUUUGGGAGUAGGUUGGUGGCAAUAUUUGGUGGCACCGUCUGAAGCAAAAUCACCUUCUGAUCAAUCAAAUCUUGAAUCUUGUGCUUUAAAUUAAUAUAGUCCUCGAUUGUAUGUUCGACACCUCCUGAAUGAUAUGCGUAAUGCUGGUCAGCAUAGAAGAAUCAAGAAUUGGUAUUAGUGGGUUUCGGCGGGAUAGGUUAGAUGAGAUCUGCUUUCUUUAGCCUUUCAAACAGUUGAGAACAGUUGAGUUCUGGUUUCAGCCAAAGCAGUGAAGCUUCUGGUGACUUUUUUUUCAUUUUGGAUGAGGAAGAUAUUGGUAAGUAGGGGGAGGGACUUGAUGGUAAUUUUGGUUAACUGGAGCUUUUUGGUAGGCUUGGAAAUUUGAAAGAGGAGCUUGAUAAGUGGGCUGAUAAUUUGGCAAUGGAGCUAGGUAAUUUGGUUGAUUGGUAGAGAAAUUUGGCUAUGGAACUUGGGGGAUAGGUUGGGUAUAGCACACAGGUUGGAGAUUUCGUGGAGUUGAUGGGUAUACAAACGGUGAUUGUAUUCUCCCAGAAUUAGGCUUGGAGGAUUUCUUUGAUUUCAGGUUUGGACUUUAGGACACGAAAGACAUAUCUUUUUUUUUCUUUGGGAAUACUGAAGAUCCAGGUUGUGCAGAGGUCUUGUUGAUUUUCCCCAUCCUGAGUCAUUUUUCAACUGUUUCACUAUUCUUAACCAAAUCAGCGAAGGUAGCACGAACUGUCGAUAUCAUCUUGUCAUAAAACUCUCCCUCCUAAGCUCGGGUAAACACAACAAUUAUUUUUUCUUCUAUCAUAUGAGAUCGUACCUUUGCUGCCUCUUUGCGCCAAUGAUAGGCAUAUUCAUAAAAGAAUUCAUUAGACUUUUGCUUGAUGCGGUUCAAAGAAUAUUGAUCAGAAACCAUCUCUACAUUGUAGGCAAAUCUAUCAAUAAAGUCUCUAGCUAAAGUGCUCCGUUCAGGUAAUUUCUUUAGUUCCUGUGAAGCAAACCAUUCUAACGCUUCUCCACUCAGGCUUCGACUGAAGAUCCUUAUUAUUAAUGUCUUAUUUCUGCCAGCGCCAACCAUUUAGUUGCAAUAUCCUCUCAAGUAAGCCAUAGGGUUUUUAGUACCUUUGAAUGUCUCGAACUUAGGGACUUCAAAUACUUCUGGCAGGUUCAAGUCAGGGUGAAUGCAAAGGUCAUCAUAACUGAACCUCACUGCAUUGGGUGAACCAUGGGUUUUCUUCAUCCUUGAGAUCUCUUUCUUUAUCAAUAGUAAUUCCUUGGUAUGUUUGUGUUCAGGCACCUUACACUCCUUCUUUAUCUCCUCAUAGUGGUCAAUUUAUGGAUUUUGGGGGAAUGUAUGGUAAGAGGUAGGCAUUACAGUAGCAUGGAUGGUGACGGGAGAUAUAUUUUGGGUCAUCAGAGGACUUUGAGUGGUAUGAGUAAAGUUUUGGUUUAUGGGAACUGGAUUUUGGGGAACAUUGGCAUUGAGACUGAAAGUUGGGUGGAUAUUUUGGGAAGUAAAGGCAUUUGUGGAGGUAUUUUGGUAAUUUGGAGUGAAGCUUUGAGGGUGGUAAUCAUUUGGAUUUACUCCAUUGAUGUUAUAAGCAUGAGGGGUAUGGGUUUGGCAUAACAGACUGAUGGGAUUAGCGGAAGGUGUAAGCAUGGAAGUGAAGGGUAUGUCAUUUGGUUAGUUUCCAUUGUGAAGAGAGAUAAAAGGAGGGGAUCAGAGCGGAGGGUAUGUCAUUUGGUUGGUUUCCAUUGUGAGGAGAGAUAAAAGGAGGGAAUUAGAGUGAAAGUACAUGGGUAUCCAAGACUGGCGUAUUAGUGGCCAUGGACAGAUUAGCCAUAUCUUUUGCUCGUUGUACUUCUUCUUGAAGCUCCUCCAUUCUCCUAGUUAGUUCAGCGAUUAUCUCACCUUGUGCCAUUAUCACACCGUCCCUAACAGUAAUUUCGAUGAUAGCAUUAUCCUCACUACUACCAGUCAUUCUUUCCUCUUCAGCUAAGUGAUAAUUGCGGGAAAAUUUUUUAUUUGCCUUAGAUCUAGUUAAGUAUUGAUGUUCAGCCAGUUUUGUCAACACAGAUCAAUUUCUACUUACUUGAUUACCUGAUAAAACAACUCCAAAGGCAACUAUGUUAGAUUUGGUUAGUGAUACAUAAUGAAGAUGUCCGACAUAAUGUAAACAUAUAAAGUGCUUUCAUCAUAUGUAAAUUGAUCCACGGGUGGGUAUUGACUCAAAAAACAUUAACGGGCAGGACUCUGUCCGUUGAAUUUUUGAUAAAUAAGUCUUGACAAAAAAUUUUCCAAGUCUUCUAAUUUUGGACCCAUAUGAUGUUUUUUGACAAAACGAUACAUAACGAUUUUAAAGGAUAGAGGCCGGGACAAAAGGCUACCUACGUAUAUCCCAAAGGAAAAAUUAGGCCGUACGUAAUUCAAAUAUCUUGGGAUAAAACUUUAUUUCAUUGAAAUUUCAUUAGAGUUCAUUACAUUAGGAAAACAUGAAAGGAAAACAAUGGCAGAAAAGACAAGACUAAUGACUAAGUCCUAGAUAGAUGCGAGCAUUCCUACUUUAUUCUGCUCCCUCCACAUCUUGAUCUUCUAUGGGUGGUAUGGCGGGAAUUCCAUCUCGACCCCUCUUGUAUCCACCAGGCUCUCUAAAUCCAUCUUAAAAUUGUGGCAAGUCCCCAAGUCGUGUCCUCCGAUCCCUCCAUAAUAACGGCAAACCUCUCUGAGUUUUUUUCAAGCCUUAGACAUCAUAUUAGGCUUCCUCUCCACUGGUUCUAAAAUUUUGGCAUGGAUGAGCUUUGAGUAAAUUUCAUGGUAGGUAUCUCCAUACUUUGUGAAGUCAUAUCUGUAAAUCUGUACAUUAUUGAUGGGCAUGCCUGGAUCAACUCGAUCGCAACAAAAAAUAGUUUGUGAUCCCCAUAAAUUGUUCAUCUAACCAUUGCGGAUCAUGUUAUAAAUUCUGGCCUUCAGAACAAGAACUCAUAAGUGGUAUGACUACAUUGGUUUGGAUGAUAAUGACAUCUCUUAUGAACAUAUUCGGGAAGACAACCAAAUCCUUCUGUUUGAUUAGGGUGGAGGAACCUCAUAUCUCUUAGUUACUGAUAGACUCUCGAGCAUGUCAUGAUCUAGGGGUACUGAGAGUACCCUUUUGAGUAAGCUUUGAGGGUGAUCUUUUCACUUUUUUCCCUGAUCCUAGUUGGCCAGACGACAUCCCCUUUAAUCUAGGUCCAUCGUCCUCUCUUAAGUUUGAAGGCGAAGCUUGCUCAAACUUCUUCUUUUCCUGUGCGAUCAACUUCUUGACUUUAGCAAUUUCUUCAUCAUCCUGAUCGGCCCUCCUAAUCAAUCUCUUAACCUCUUUUUUUGCAUUUCUUCUAUCUGGUCUAACUCCACCACACAUCUUUUCAGUUGUGUGAUCCUUGAAUCCAGGAUAAAUUUUCCUGAAAGAAUAAAAAUACGAAAUGGUUGAGGACUUUCUGAGAAACUUAGGGACUUGAAAUGUUUUGGACGGAGUUUAGAUAGUAGGUGUGUAUUUUCUUCCUAAAGGGUUUUCUAAAGAUUUGCUGGGGAAUGGAUUAAUUUACCUUUGAUUUAACAACACACAUAGCAUAUAAACACUUAUAUCACAUAAGAUGAUUAUAUCACACGAUAAUAAAAUAAUAAAUAGCGUGUUCUAGUUGGGUGACCUUUUUAAGCCAAGGGUUGGCCUAAUGUCACAUAAUUGAGAUUAUGAUAAAUUGAUCCAAGCCAUUAAUUUGAUACAAACUUUGAGUUUGAAAAUAAAAGUGCCCAUUUUCCAAACUCGCGGUAUCACAAUUGGACUUGGAUCAGUUUAUUACUUCCACAUGCACAUAAUAUGAGUGGUUGUCGUCGGGUCAUAAACCCAUUUGACAUAAGGGCAUUUCCUAUGUUCGUGGAAUGACAUCUUGGGUCAAACCACCUCAGGCUUAUGCAUGCAUGACCUAAAUCGAGGGUGGUAACGCUCUAUCUUUAGUUUUGCUAAGAUUUGGAUAGACACGGACUUGAAUUUCCUAUAUGAGUAGGCACGUGGUCCCACGAUAGUAAAACUCUCGCUUACCCUACGUAUGCGGCAACUCUCUAAAAUAGGUGAUUUGAAAGAAUUUUGAAAAAGUACAAUGUACAAUCUGCGUGUACAAUGUGUGUGGGUGUCAAUUUUUCGAAGUGAAGAAAAUAUGAACGGGUUUAUAUGAAAUUCAACAAAUAAACACGUAAUAGUCAGCCACAACAAGUUAGAAAAUUUCUUUUGGUUCGAACCUAGAUAUAUCUCCAGCAGAGUCGUCAUUUCUGUUUUAUCCCUUUUCGAAUUUUAUUUUAAAGAAAAUGAUUUUGACCCCUUAUAAACUAUUUCGAAAGAUUCAAGAGAGUUUCGAAAUAAUUUUUGACAAAAUUUAUAGAUUUGCCACUUGAUUUUUUAUCGAAAACAUUAAGAAAAACUUUAAAGGGAUUUCAAAGAUUUAAUAACAGAAAUAAGUCUUCGAAAUCAGAGAAACUAAUUAAGGGUUCAAUUAACGUCCUAAGAAAGUUUUUACGACGCUUAGGAGCAUCCGUUUUAAAAAGGUUAACCAAAAUACUUAUUUUUGACUAACUUAAAAGGGUGACUAACUUUACAAAAAAGAAAAACAAUUACUUGUAUAAAAUUAUUUAUUUACAUGUUCAAAAUUUGGCAUCUUGUUUGUUUCAACGAAAAAUAGUCUACUUCAAUUAGAAAGAAGUUGCAACAUGUUUCGCUUGACCCAUUAUUAAUUUUGAAAGAAAAAUACUAAAUAUCUCGCUUAAUUCAUGAUUAAUUUUUGAGAGGCAUUACAAAAUACUUUACUUAAUUCAUGAUUAUUUCUAACAAAGGAUAUGAAAUAUCUUAUUUGAAUUAAAAGAAACCUAUCUAGACUAGGUGACACAUUUGAAUUUAAAAAGAAAAUAAGUUGAUUUUUAUGGGGAAAGAGGAUCUACUUAUUGUCGUAAGAAUGGUCAUUUUGUUAUGGCUAACACCUUUGGAAAAAUAUUAAGAAAGUAUCAUAUUAAAACAUUUUAUCGAUUGUUGAAAGUUAGACUUUACGAGAAAACAACUUUUCGAGUUUGAAGAGAAUUAUAUGCUCUUUUUUACCCAAGUAGACUAUUUAGUCAUGUGAACAAAACAAAUAUAAUUUGAACUACGAAUUCAUUUUUUUAUUUCGUUUUAUGAAUUCCGUGGGAAAAAUUAUAUGAUAAAUGAGAGAUUCAAGAUAAAUGAAAAAAAUCACUAGGUUAAUUAAGUAGAAUUAGAAUUAAUACAAAUAGACAAGCAUAAAUUCCAAAUUAUAAGUAAAUAAGAAAUUAAAAGUUAGAAUUGGGCCCCUUUUAUUAGCCCAUAAAUGGGCUGCCCAACUUGGGCUUUCUAUUUUAUGGAUUUUUAAGUCCAUUUUUAUACAUUGUAUACCACAGGCAUAUCAGCUCCUUUUUCUUAUGUUUUCCGUGUAUGUACAGCGUAUACAAGACCGUAUUUCAAUCAUGUACAUGCAAUUUCAGCCCUCCAAACAUAUAAUCGGCUUUCUUUUCCAUUUCCAGCCGCAUAUAACAUGUAUACCAGCCUCUCUGAUUGUAUAUCACUGCGUACACAAUGUAAAAAUAGUCUUCUUGGGACUUGGACUCAGGUUUUCGACUCGAUAUUGGUUGGACCCAACGAGGAUGCAAGGACAGAGUCCAAGAGGACUCAAACGAGUUCAUGCACAAGAGGUAAAAGGAUAAGAAUUGGUAUCCAUAUGAUACGAGCAUGCAAUAAGGAUGAGAAUUAACCGAACAAAAGAAACAACAAAGCUAAUGCACUUUUGUUCCCCAUGAAACAAAUCAUAAUACGUAAUUACGACUCAAAUUAUGACUUUCCAUUCACAUUUUUAAUAUACUUUAAAUCAAAUAUAUAUAUAUAUAUAUAUAUAUAUAUAUAUAUAUAUAUAUAUAUGUUAGNNNNNNNNNNNNNNNNNNNNNNNUAUAUAUAUAUAUAUAUGUUAGCACAUUUAAUUAAUAAAUUGGGUAAAGAUGUUUCAUAAUUAGGUGAUAAAAGAGUAAAACAACAUAUAUGUUGGUAUGAAUUUGGUACACUGGUAAGCUUUUGUAGAUGAGUCAACAUAACACAAUUUGCCAUUUUAAGGAAUAGAUACCCAACAAAACUGAUUGUUCCUGUAUAUGCCAAAGACACAAACUUUCUGAACCUAACACUUGAGUAAAUAAAAGGCAUUACCAUUAAAAUGCAUGAAUCAAAGAAAAAGCACAUGAUACAGAUUCUACACAACCAAAAAUAGGACUCCAACACCUUUCUAGCAUGCAUAUAUGACACAAGACACCACAUUCCUAAAAAACUGAUAUGAACAAACUAGCAUUUCGUCAAAACACAUAAAUCGAGAAAACCAAAUGCAAUUUCAACAUAUUAAUCUAAUUAACAAAAACAAUGCAAGACAUGUAUUUCCUGCAAGUGAAGUAGUCAAGAUUUAGAGCAUAUAACAGGACACCACAUAACCACUGUUCUACCAUGAAUCUACUUUAACACAAAGCCCGGAAAAGAUAAAACACACAAGAGAGAAAAUGACAUUCUUAGCUUUUGUGAGCAUGACAUAAUGGUGAACCAUACUUUCUUCAUAUAAUUCAAAACAACCCACAUACCAACAACACACUGUCGAAAGUUAGAAAUUUCCAACAAUUCACACAUAAUCGAAAAACCUCUUAAUUCCGAUCGAUUCUACUAUCAUUACCACACAACAAUACAACCAGACCAGUCCACGUCCACAAUCAUUGCAACAUUUUCAUAUUUACGACAUUCAAACGUGAAGAAAAAGAAUGUAACAAAGUUGAAUGUCCCCCUGUUUUCGAGCAGAGACACCGGGACGAUGAGCUUUUACUCGAAUGAGAUUCCACCAGUUGAUUCUAACCAACAGAAUUUGAACAAGAACGUCGAAUUUAGAUGGUCUAAGAGAAUUUUGGUUUCGUGAGGUUAAAGGCAAGCACCUUCACAACCCCCAAUUUUUCCCUAAAAAUCCUCUUCUUACCCCUUCUCCUUAGCAUCUAUUUAUAGGGAAUUUCNNNNNNNNNNNNNNNNNNNNNNNNNNNNNNNNNNNNNNNNNNNNNNNNNNNNNNNNNNNNNNNNGGAUUUUGAAAUCCACAAUAACAGAAAUGCAGACUGAAAUUUGCACCAAAUUGGUACAAAAUUCAGAACGGAAAAGUAAGAAGGGAAGAAAAGGGACCGAAUUUGGACAUUUGCAUUAAAUUGAAGUUUUUCUCCCACCUUAUUUUGGUGCGAUUUUGCCAAACACAUACACACAUAACCUGAGUGAGAGAAAAAAGGUGAAAUUCUAACCAAGAAGAGGCUGGACACGGGGAUAAAUUGGUAAUAAAGUAAAGGAGGGACAACUGGGUUUUUCGCCGUUGAACGCUGUUGCUGUUACGCGGUGGUUUUGUUACAGCGUUGGAACUGUUGUUUGCGGUACAGUGUACAACACUGAUUGUUGCUGGUGUACGCGUUGUUGAACGCCGUUGAUGUUGUCGGCUGUUAUGGUCGCUGUUGGUCGUUGUUUUGGCUGAGGCUGAUAACGUUGGUUCAGUGUUGUUGUACGCUGUUUAAGGGUAAUUAAGGAAAAGGGGAAAUAAGGGCUUUGGGCCGGGUCGGUUUGGUGGAUUGGGCUGGUGAGCGUAAGCUGCUGUUGUUAUUGUUGAUGGGAAUUGGGCUGUUAGCCCAAUUUCGAAGAGGAUUGGGUCGGGUUUAUAAUGGACUGGGCUGGGGUUAUGGGCUGAUUAUGGAUAAUUAUAAGUAUAAAUAACAUAAAUAUCAAUCUUUUAAAAGUAAUUACACUCUCUUCCAUUUUUUAAUUACUUUACUCUCUCU
Molecule: long non-coding RNA, 25740 nt
Filed under: Capsicum annuum
Lineage: Eukaryota; Viridiplantae; Streptophyta; Magnoliopsida; Solanales; Solanaceae
Description: long non-coding RNA (CANN_LNC019249)
Source: RNAcentral